Molecule: long non-coding RNA, 1321 nt
Filed under: Cyanistes caeruleus (blue tit)
Lineage: Eukaryota; Metazoa; Chordata; Aves; Passeriformes; Paridae
Description: lncRNA (ENSCCEG00000005165.1)
Source: RNAcentral
ACAGGAAUGUCAGAGGGGUAAAAUUGACUUUUAAUUGGAUUUUAGCUGGUUUGGUUGCAGGUUGUACGGAAAAAGAACCCUAAAAAUCUGAUUUUUAUGAGAAUAUCCAAAAGAAAAGUGGGAUUCCCAUGAAAAAUAAUAUUGAAUUAAAUCAAUUUUUGGUGGCACCAAAAACCCCAGUCAGCUGCUGAAUUGGAUCCGAGGCAAGAUAAUGAUGGAUAAAUGGAUUAGGUACCAGCACAAACGGCAAAAUUGUAAUAUUUGAUGGAAAAACCGAGGAAUUCCUGACCCAAAUUCCCAAUCCGUGCAGCCACGCCGCUCCCAAAGCAACCCCUGCUUCCCAAAGCUCGCUGCUCCUGCUUUUCCUUGGACCAGGGAUCGAGGCAUUCCCGAGGGAUGGAUGGAUGGGGAUGGAUGUGUUUGUCCCCUGGGCUGUCACCGUGUCCCCAAAUCCCCUCUCACCGCCUUCACCUCAUCCAAAAUUCCAGCAAUAAUCUCAUUUUCCCCCAGUGAGAGACUGACCUUGCACUUCCAUGUGGGAAAUGGGCCAAAAUUCCUGAUUUUUAUUUUUUUUUUGCCGGUUUUCUCCUUGUUUUGCUGUCCCUCCCUCUUUUGGGGUGUGUAUAAACACAAAACUGGGUUUAUACACACAAAUUUGGGGUGGGGGAGGUUUUGCUGUGCAGGUCAUAAAGACGGGGGAAGGUUUUUGUGUUUUCUUAAUAGGUGAAGAAAUCUCAGAAGACCUGAAAUUGCAACUUACUGAAUUAAAAUAAUUUAAAAAAAAAAUAAUUAAAAAAAAAAUUAGAAAUUUCCCCAGCUGUGGAAGAUGGAGCCUCAUUUUUGCAGCCACUUUGAAUCCCGAGUUCAUCUUUAAAACAAAAAAAAGGCGCUGGGGCAUUUUUUUAAAAAAUUUUUUGUUGUUUUUUUUUAUGGUUCUUUUUGGUUUUGUUUUUUUAAUUUUUUUUUUUUUGGAAGAGCUAAAAUAUCCCUGGCUGUCUCCAGCGUGCCACUUUUGCCAUGGACUCAAUUCCUCCAUUAGUUGUCAGAUUGUUCUGAGAGCGCCUCAGAGUUUGGAAUUGUUGGCUGAGAGGUUCCCUUGGAAUUGUCAGGAGGAAAAACAAAAAACACAAAAAAAAAAAAAAAGGAAAAAAAUUCUUUCUGCCCCUUUGUUAUUCAUUGACGGAUCCCUUCGGCCUACAGGAGAGGGGAACCGCAUGGCUGGGAAGAUCAAAGCCUGUGCUCAGCCUGGCCAGGGUUACUUUUAAAAAGAAGCUGUCACUGCUAAGCCAGGAGAAGCCUUUGGAGCGAAGCCAAUUCUUGC